GUUCCAUUAGAUAGUAGGCGGGGUAACGGCCCACCUAGUCAACGAUGGAUAGGGGUUCUGAGAGGAAGGUCCCCCACAUUGGAACUGAGACACGGUCCAAACUCCUACGGGAGGCAGCAGUGAGGAAUAUUGGUCAAUGGGCGAUGGCCUGAACCAGCCAAGUAGCGUGAAGGAUGACUGCCCUAUGGGUUGUAAACUUCUUUUAUAAAGGAAUAAAGUCGGGUAUGCAUACCCGUUUGCAUGUACUUUAUGAAUAAGGAUCGGCUAACUCCGUGCCAGCAGCCGCGGUAAUACGGAGGAUCCGAGCGUUAUCCGGAUUUAUUGGGUUUAAAGGGAGCGUAGAUGGAUGUUUAAGUCAGUUGUGAAAGUUUGCGGCUCAACCGUAAAAUUGCAGUUGAUACUGGAUGUCUUGAGUGCAGUUGAG
This 424-nucleotide ribosomal RNA is filed under the name uncultured Bacteroidales bacterium. RNAcentral's name for it is "bacterial SSU rRNA". It matches the Rfam family "Bacterial small subunit ribosomal RNA", at positions 235 to 656 of the family's 1533-position model. The record is from RNAcentral. Lineage: Bacteria; Pseudomonadati; Bacteroidota; Bacteroidia; Bacteroidales.